GAAAAGCCCCUCUGAGGAAGUGACAUUUAAAUGGAAGUCUAAUUAAAUUACUCUAGGAAGAGGACACAGCAAGUACAAAUGUCAGAAGACCAGUACAGGUGUCACCGGACUAAAACUGGAGUAUCAGCAGGCAUUCCCUGCUGGAGGCUUAAGGGCAGAAUCCAUUUCCUUGCAUUUUCCAGCUUCUAGAGGCAUCUCCCUGGUCCUUGCAUACUGUCGCCAACAUUUCAGAACUGGCAAUAGGGCAGUACUUUCUGUCAGAAUGACCUCUUUCACCAUCUACCUCAAGUUGACAACUGAUGCAAGACAUCUACUUUCCCACAGAAAACAUAGAAAAGAACAGCCAAGGCUCUUUAUUAUCUUGUCCUCAAGCUCUCUCAGGUGUUGGAGAUAAUCAAGAUAAUCCAGAUCGCAGAUACUAUAGUAUGUUUGACUUUCAAGAUAUAAUCCAGUGAAGAAUGAGGUGGGAAAUUUAUGACGUGAGAGAGAGAGAGAGACUAACACAAGAGCAAAGUCUUCGAAUAG
RNAcentral lists this long non-coding RNA (525 nucleotides) under Equus caballus (horse). RNAcentral describes it as "lncRNA (ENSECAG00000058642.1)". Lineage: Eukaryota; Metazoa; Chordata; Mammalia; Perissodactyla; Equidae. The record is from RNAcentral.